RNAcentral lists this ribosomal RNA (492 nucleotides) under uncultured bacterium. RNAcentral describes it as "partial 16S ribosomal RNA". It matches the Rfam family "Bacterial small subunit ribosomal RNA", at positions 29 to 507 of the family's 1533-position model. The record is from RNAcentral.
AGUGAACGCUGGCGGUAGGCCUAACACAUGCAAGUCGAACGGCAGCACAGUAAGAGCUUGCUCUUACGGGUGGCGAGUGGCGGACGGGUGAGGAAUACAUCGGAAUCUACUUUUUCGUGGGGGAUAACGUAGGGAAACUUACGCUAAUACCGCAUACGACCUACGGGUGAAAGCAGGGGAUCUUCGGACCUUGCGCGAUUGAACGAGCCGAUGUCGGAUUAGCUAGUUGGCGGGGUAAAGGCCCACCAAGGCGACGAUCCGUAGCUGGUCUGAGAGGAUGAUCAGCCACACUGGAACUGAGACACGGUCCAGACUCCUACGGGAGGCAGCAGUGGGGAAUAUUGGACAAUGGGCGCAAGCCUGAUCCAGCCAUACCGCGUGGGUGAAGAAGGCCUUCGGGUUGUAAAGCCCUUUUGUUGGGAAAGAAAAGCAGCAGGUUAAUACCCCGCUGUUCCGACGGUACCCAAAGAAUAAGCACCGGCUAACUUCGUG